CGCCGCCACCGCCGUCGCCUCGGUGUUCGCCAGCACCUUGUCCAGGCCGCCUUCCAGGAUCUUGAUGGUCCUAUCCUUGUUCACGAUCUUGUCCAACCCGAAGAGGCCGAUGCGGAACGUGAAGUUCCCGGGGGGCUCGCCAAUCAUAAACGGCACGCCCGCGGCCACCUGGAAACCCUCAGCCUUGAACUGCUGGAACAUGUCCGGGCUCGACGUGUACCACACGUUCACGCCCGGGGCCUCGUACCCGGGCGCGCUCACCGUCCUCAGACCCUUGGACUUCAUCAUGUCGCGGCACUCGUUCCCGAGGUCCCACGCCAUCUGCUUCGCCUUGCCAAACCCGAGCUCCUUCGUCUCCAGCGCCGCGUCUCGAAAGAGGUUCAGCGCGUCGGUGGGCAUGGUGGUGUAGUAGGCGAACCCCCCGGCGUUGUACGAGUCCAUCACCUCGAGCCAUUUCCUCAUGUUGAUCACCAUGGACGUGGACGUGGUGUUGCGCGUCGCGUAGUCGCCUCGUUCGCUGAGCAUCAUGAGCGAAGAGCACGCGGGACCCGUCCACCCUUUCUGCGGCGCCGAGAGGAUGGCGUCGACGCCCGUCGCCUUCAUGUCCACCCACACGGUACCGGACGCGAUGCAGUCGAGGACGAAGAGCCCACCGUGCGCGUG
RNAcentral lists this long non-coding RNA (663 nucleotides) under Micromonas commoda. Its description in RNAcentral is "long non-coding RNA (MCOM_LNC000191)". Lineage: Eukaryota; Viridiplantae; Chlorophyta; Mamiellophyceae; Mamiellales; Mamiellaceae. The record is from RNAcentral.